CCGCUUGACGCUGGCGGCGUGCCUAAACAUGCAAGUCGAACGCGAAAGUUUCUUCGGAAAUGAGUAGAGUGGCGCACGGGUGAGUAACGCGUGGAUUAUCUACCUACUGGUACGGGACAACAGUUGGAAACGACUGCUAAUACCGUAUACGCUGGUAACGGGAAAGGGGGCCUCUUCUUGAAAGCUCUCGCCAGUAGAUGAGUCCGCGUUUCAUUAGCUAGACGGUGGGGUAACGGCCUACCGUGGCAACGAUGAAUAGCAGGCCUGAGAGGGUGGCCUGCCACACUGGGACUGGAACACGGCCCAGACUCCUACGGGAGGCAGCAGUGGGGAAUAUUGCGCAAUGGACGAAAGUCUGACGCAGCGACGCCGCGUGGAGGAUGAAGGUUUUCGGAUCGUAAACUCCUGUCAAGAGGGAAGAAACCUAUUAUGGAUAAUACUCAUAGUAAUUGACGGUACCUCUAGAGGAAGCACCGGCUAAUUCAGUGCCAGCAGCCGCGGUAAUACUGAAGGUGCAAGCGUUAAUCGGAAUCACUGGGCGUAAAGCGCUCGUAGGUGGCUUUGUAAGUCAGGUGUGAAAGCCCACGGCUCAACCGUGGAAUUGCACUUGAUACUGCAUCGCUAGAGUAUAGGAGAGGGAAGUGGAAUUUCUGGUGUAGGAGUGAAAUCCGUAGAGAUCAGAAGGAACACCCGUGGCGAAGGCGACUUCCUGGACUAUUACUGACACUGAGGAGCGAAAGCGUGGGGAGCAAACAGGAUUAGAUACCCUGGUAGUCCACGCCGUAAACGAUGGGUACUAGGUGUUGGGGGCUUGACCCUCGGUGCCGUAGUUAACGCGUUAAGUACCCCGCCUGGGGAGUACGGUCGCAAGGCUGAAACUCAAAUGAAUUGACGGAAGGGCGAA
Molecule: ribosomal RNA, 904 nt
Filed under: uncultured bacterium
Lineage: Bacteria
Description: bacterial SSU rRNA
Rfam family: Bacterial small subunit ribosomal RNA
Source: RNAcentral